Molecule: ribosomal RNA, 371 nt
Filed under: uncultured bacterium
Lineage: Bacteria
Description: bacterial SSU rRNA
Rfam family: Bacterial small subunit ribosomal RNA
Source: RNAcentral
AGAGGGUGCAAACGUUGUUCGGAAUUACUGGGCGUAAAGCGAGUGUAGGCGGUUUGGUAAGUCGGAUGUGAAAGCCCCGGGCUCAACCCGGGAAGUGCACUCGAUACUGCCAAGCUAGAGUAUCGGAGAGGUUGGUGGAAUUCUCGGUGUAGAGGUGAAAUUCGUAGAUAUCGAGAGGAACACCGGUGGCGAAGGCGGCCAACUGGACGAAUACUGACGCUGAGACUCGAAAGCGUGGGGAGCAAACAGGAUUAGAUACCCUGGUAGUCCACGCCGUAAACGAUGGGUGCUAGGUGUCGCGGGCUUUGACUCCUGCGGUGCCGUAGCUAACGCAUUAAGCACCCCGCCUGGGAAGUACGGCCGCAAGGCUA